This 471-nucleotide unclassified non-coding RNA is filed under the name Magnusiomyces clavatus. Its description in RNAcentral is "sequence contains 18S rRNA gene, ITS1, 5.8S rRNA gene, ITS2, 28S rRNA gene". The stretch from base 144 to 282 matches the Rfam family "5.8S ribosomal RNA". Lineage: Eukaryota; Fungi; Ascomycota; Dipodascomycetes; Dipodascales; Dipodascaceae. The record is from RNAcentral.
AGUCGUAACAAGGUUUCCGUAGGUGAACCUGCGGAAGGAUCAUUCACAAGAUUAUAAUAUUUUAUUACUUUGUGGAAAAUUUGGUUGAAUUUACAUGUUUUAUUACAAAAAAUUAAUUAUAAUUAAAAAAAUAAUUUUAAGAAAACCUCCAACAACGGAUCUCUUGGUUCCCAGAUCGAUGAAGAGCGCAGCGAAUUGCGAAAUGUGAUGUGUAUUGCAGUGAAUCAUCAAUUCUUGAACGCACAUGGCACCCCUUUUAGGGGUAUGCUUGUAUGAGGGUGUUUAAUAUGAAAUUGCUUUGGCUUUUUUUAAAUAAAUGGUUUUUCAAACAUUGUUACUAAUAAAGAUGAAAGAAUCAGUGCAACAAGCUGUGUUGAAUCUUUCAAUUAAAAUCUUUUUUAGUUAACAUUUUUUAACUAUUUACGCCUCAUAUCAAGCAAGACUACCCGCUGAACUUAAGCAUAUCAAUAA